This 546-nucleotide ribosomal RNA is filed under the name uncultured eukaryote. RNAcentral's name for it is "SSU rRNA". It matches the Rfam family "Eukaryotic small subunit ribosomal RNA", at positions 21 to 565 of the family's 1831-position model. The record is from RNAcentral.
CGAUUGUAGUCAUAUGCUUGUCUCAAAGAUUAAGCCAUGCAUGUCUAAGUAUAAGCAAUUAUACCGCGAAACUGCGAAUGGCUCAUUAAAUCAGUUAUCGUUUAUUUGAUAGUACCUUACUACAUGGAUAACCGUGGUAAUUCUAGAGCUAAUACAUGCUAAAAAUCCCGACUUCGGAAGGGAUGUAUUUAUUAGAUUAAAAACCAAUGCCCUUCGGGGCUCUCUGGUGAUUCAUAAUAACUUCUCGAAUCGCACGGCCUUGCGCCGGCGAUGGUUCAUUCAAAUUUCUGCCCUAUCAACUUUCGACGGCUGGGUCUUGGCCAGCCGUGGUGACAACGGGUAACGGAGGGUUAGGGCUCGACCCCGGAGAAGGAGCCUGAGAAACGGCUACUACAUCCAAGGAAGGCAGCAGGCGCGCAAAUUACCCAAUCCCGACACGGGGAGGUAGUGACAAUAAAUACUGAUACGGGGCUCUUUCGGGUCUUGUAGUUGGAAUGAGUACAAUUUAAAUCCCUUAACGAGGAACAAUUGGAGGGCAAGUCUGGA